RNAcentral lists this ribosomal RNA (490 nucleotides) under uncultured bacterium. RNAcentral's name for it is "bacterial SSU rRNA". It matches the Rfam family "Bacterial small subunit ribosomal RNA", at positions 41 to 526 of the family's 1533-position model. The record is from RNAcentral.
GGCAGGCCUAACACAUGCAAGUCGAGGGGUAACAUAGAGUGCUUGCACUCUGAUGACGACCGGCGCACGGGUGAGUAACGCGUAUACAAUCUGCCUCAUACUAGGGGAUAGCCCAGAGAAAUUUGGAUUAAUACCCUAUAGUAUCUUUUAGAGUCAUCUCUUUAAGAUUAAAGGUUACGGUAUGAGAUGAGUAUGCGUUCUAUUAGUUAGUAGGUGAGGUAACGGCUCACCUAGACCACGAUAGAUAGGGGCCCUGAGAGGGGGAUCCCCCACACUGGUACUGAGACACGGACCAGACUCCUACGGGAGGCAGCAGUGAGGAAUAUUAGACAAUGGGCGAAAGCCUGAUCUAGCCAUGCCGCGUGCAGGAUGACGGCCCUAUGGGUUGUAAACUGCUUUUAUACAGGAAGAAAAAACUCUACGUGUAGAGUCUUGACGGUACUGUAAGAAUAAGGAUCGGCUAACUCCGUGCCAGCCGCCGCGGUAAUUC